CUUAAAUUGGGCUUUGAGCCUCUUGUGGGAAGUCAACCAGCCAUUCCUGCUUUAUCACCCGCAGGGAUCCUUCCGGGCCGCAGGACCACCAAGCCAAUGAGCCUGGGAAUGACCCUCCUGAGCAGGAUUUGUCCAAAGUGGGGCACCCCCUGCAGGAAGGAGGCCCCCUUCUGUUCAAGGAAGUCCAGCUUGUCUUCAAUUCCCAGCAGCUGAACGGGACGCAGCGAGUCCUCCUGGAUAAUGUCAUCUCGCCAAGCGAAUGCCAGGAGCUGGAGCACAUCGCCAAAAACAUCCUCCUGGCUGGUGAUGGCUACAGGGGGAAGACUUCUCCUCACACCCCGAAUGAGAAGUUCGAAGGAGCCACCAUCCUCAAUGCU
Non-coding RNA from Thamnophis sirtalis, 377 nucleotides. Lineage: Eukaryota; Metazoa; Chordata; Lepidosauria; Squamata; Natricidae. The record is from RefSeq and is a predicted model, not a curated record.